This 393-nucleotide ribosomal RNA is filed under the name uncultured nitrite-oxidizing bacterium. Its description in RNAcentral is "bacterial SSU rRNA". It matches the Rfam family "Bacterial small subunit ribosomal RNA", at positions 521 to 916 of the family's 1533-position model. The record is from RNAcentral.
UAAUACGAAGGUGGCAAGCGUUGUUCGGAUUCACUGGGCGUACAGGGAGCGUAGGCGGUUGGGUAAGCCCUCCGUGAAAUCUCCGGGCCUAACCCGGAAAGUGCAGAGGGGACUGCUUGGCUAGAGGAUGGGAGAGGAGCGCGGAAUUCCCGGUGUAGCGGUGAAAUGCGUAGAGAUCGGGAGGAAGGCCGGUGGCGAAGGCGGCGCUCUGGAACAUUUCUGACGCUGAGGCUCGAAAGCGUGGGGAGCAAACAGGAUUAGAUACCCUGGUAGUCCACGCCUUAAACUAUGGAUACUAAGUGUCGGCGGGUUACCGCCGGUGCCGCAGCUAACGCAGUAAGUAUCCCGCCUGGGAAGUACGGCCGCAAGGUUGAAACUCAAAUGAAUUGACGG